UGGGGAAUAUUGCGCAAUGGGGGAAACCCUGACGCAGCGACGCCGUGUGAGGGAAGAAGGCUCUCGGGUCGUAAACCUCUGUCGGGAAGGAAGAACCUCUCAGGGCUGAACAAGCCCUGGGACUGACGGUACUUCCAAAGGAAGCACCGGCUAACUCCGUGCCAGCAGCCGCGGUAAUACGGAGGGUGCAAGCGUUAAUCGGAAUCACUGGGCGUAAAGCGCGCGUAGGCCGUCUUUUAAGUCGGACGUGAAAGCCCUCGGCUCAACCGGGGAACUGCGUUCGAUACUGGGAGACUUGAGUCCUGGAGAGGGUGGCGGAAUUCCUGGUGUAGGAGUGAAAUCCGUAGAUAUCCGGAGGAACACCGGUGGCGAAGGCGGCCACCUGGACAGGUACUGACGCUGAGGCGCGAAAGCGUGGGGAGCAAACA
This 428-nucleotide ribosomal RNA is filed under the name uncultured bacterium. RNAcentral's name for it is "bacterial SSU rRNA". It matches the Rfam family "Bacterial small subunit ribosomal RNA", at positions 355 to 774 of the family's 1533-position model. The record is from RNAcentral.